This 448-nucleotide ribosomal RNA is filed under the name uncultured bacterium. Its description in RNAcentral is "bacterial SSU rRNA". It matches the Rfam family "Bacterial small subunit ribosomal RNA", at positions 331 to 793 of the family's 1533-position model. The record is from RNAcentral.
CCAGACUCCUGCGGGAGGCAGCAGUGGGGAAUAUUGCACAAUGGGGGAAACCCUGAUGCAGCGACGCCGCGUGAGUGAAGAAGUAUUUCGGUAUGUAAAGCUCUAUCAGCAGGAACGAGACAAGACGGUACCUGACUAAGAAGCCCCGGCUAACUACGUGCCAGCAGCCGCGGUAAUACGUAGGGGGUAAGCGUUAUCCGGAUUUACUGGGUGUAAAGGGAGCGUAGACGGUUAUGUAAGUCUGGAGUGAAAGCCCGGGGCCCAACCCCGGGGCUGCUUUGGAAACUGUGUAACUGGAGUACAGGAGGGGCAGGCGGAAUUCCUGGUGUAGCGGUGAAAUGCGUAGAUAUCAGGAGGAACACCGGCGGCGAAGGCGGCCUGCUGGACUGAAACUGACGUUGAGGCUCGAAAGCGUGGGGAGCAAACAGGAUUAGAUACCCCGGUAACG